GACAGAGGGUGCAAACGUUGCUCGGAAUCACUGGGCGUAAAGGGCGUGUAGGCGGGAAGGAAAGUCAGAUGUGAAAUCCCUGGGCUCAACCCAGGAACUGCAUUUGAAACUCCCUUUCUUGAGUGUCGGAGAGGAAAGCGGAAUUCCUGGUGUAGAGGUGAAAUUCGUAGAUAUCAGGAGGAACACCGGUGGCGAAGGCGGCUUUCUGGACGACAACUGACGCUGAGACGCGAAAGCGUGGGGAGCGAACAGG
Molecule: ribosomal RNA, 253 nt
Filed under: uncultured bacterium
Lineage: Bacteria
Description: partial 16S ribosomal RNA
Rfam family: Bacterial small subunit ribosomal RNA
Source: RNAcentral